CGUUAAACAGUGUAAAGUGUCACUGUAUUUCCCUGUAGAGGACUCCAACUCCGGGACGUAACAGUCUGCAGCUGCAUGUGAUGCUGUGACAUCGGACACAGACAGUGCGUUUACUUGAAACUCGCCAACCUUGUGGUGCAUUAUUGUUAUUACAUUAUUAAAGGGCCCAUAUGGUGAAAAUGGGUUUUUAUGGGAUUCUGUGUUUCAUAUUGGCUCGGGGUUUAAAUUAAAAGCUGUGAAAAUGUGAAAUCGCUCACUGCCGCCAUUUCUCCACCCCCCACAAAACUAGACCGCCUUCCAGCUAAACGGGCCAGUUAGAAUUUGAUGUAUUUGCUACGUAGAAACCGGGUAACCAAUGGGUGUCCUGUUCCAAAAUCGACCUAGCCCCGCCCCCUUUCCCAACGUUCGCUUCGUGCCGCUGAGAAGAAUCCAAGAAGAACCGGGAGUCAUGUCGGGAGUGAAGUCCUCCCUGAAAACUGGCCAUGACAAAUGCAUCAUUCCAGGGUGCAGAUUAUCAAAUACAUCACUGCACUGCCUUCCAAAAGACAAAGAUGUCGCUGACAAGUGGAUGGAUUUUAUUUUUGGAGACUUGCCUAAACCUGUGCCAAGUCAGGCUUUUCGGCUAUGUACUGCACAUUUUUCACAGCAGUUCGUACUGAAUCAGGGGCUUUAUGAUGCUGGAGUCGUAUCAAAAUUACUGUUGAUGAAAGGAUCCAUUCCAACUAUUCGGCACCCUCUCCCAAGCAUUGAAACGGGAGCCAUUAGACCUGUUUCCCAGGCCAGUACCUCCCGGAGUAUUGGCUGCCAGACUGACCCCCUUCCAAAAAGAUCUGUUGGAACCCAACUAUCCAAGGACACUCUUAAGACUCACAUCAGAAGCAGAGCUUCUCAGACAAGUGUGGUCUGCGAGAAUGUGUGGUCUCCCCCACUUCUCACCUCAACACCCUUGAAGCCCCUUCCACCCAAAAAGAGGCCGCGACUGGAACUAGAGGAGGAUGACGAUGAAUGGGAGGCCUCCAUUGAGGCUACUGACCCUAAUGACUCCACUUUCAUUCGAAGUGUAUCAAUGACAACAGAGUCAUCGACUGUAUCACAAGCCUCACUACCAUAUGAUGUACCUAAAUAUAUUGUAUAUGAAAACUGCCUCCUCGAGUUGUUUGAGUUAUGUCCAGUGUGCAGCUCCAUGUGUGACUUUCCUUGCUGUUGAUCAGACGUGCCACCGCUGUGAGUUCAACAGACAGUGGAAGAGUCAACCGUUCAUUGGAAGUACACCUGCAGGGAACAUUCAUCUCUCUGCAGCUGUAUAUUUUACAGGGACAUCUUUCAUCCAAAUGAAAAAGGUUUUCAAUGCAUUUGGUGUGAGGAGCAUGCGAUACCAAGCUUUCCGGAAACAUGCCAAAACCUAUCUAGAACCUGCCAUUGUUUGGAAAUGGAAAAGGGCCCAGCAGGUUGAGCUUCAAAGUUUAAGCCAGCAGAGCAAGGUUAUCAUUGGAGGAGAUAUGCGGGCAGAUUCUCCAGGCCAUUGUGCCAAAUUUGGAAGCUAUACUGUGAUGAAUCUUGAAACCAGCACAGUCAUCGAUAUCCAACUUGUGCAGAGCAAUGAGGUUGGAGGGAGUUACUACAUGGAGAAGGAAGGUCUGAAGCGAAGCCUUGCUCUUCUGGAGGCAAGUGGUGUCACAUUGGACUGCAUAGUCACAGACCGCCACCUCCAGAUUCAAAAAUACCUGAGAGAAAAGGGCUAUGUAAAUGAACUCAUCGCCCUCACAUUUGAGAGUGUUGUCCCUGACCCAGCACCUUUUACUGAAGAGCUGCAGAAGAUCACCAUUCCAGAGGAUCUUUGUGCUGAGUUCUCGGUGCCAUCCAUGGAAGAGGCCAUUGCAGGAUUUGUGUCACGCUUCAAUCCAGCACAGGUCGAAAACCAGUGUAGGUACUGUCUGCAUACUCUGUCCUUAUUCGAAGGACGACACAUGAAGGGAUAACAACCCUGACCCUUCGACCAAGAAACCCCCAGCACCAGCUGACAAAACUUCUUGAGGGGAGCCAGUCAGAGCUCAGGUGGACCGACAACCUCAACAACGGUAGUGCAAGAAGGAGCAACGGCAGAGUGAGGUGAGCCAGUCUGAGCUCAGCUGGACCGA
Molecule: RNA transcript, 2138 nt
Organism: Sander lucioperca (pikeperch)
Lineage: Eukaryota; Metazoa; Chordata; Actinopteri; Perciformes; Percidae
Exons: 10
Source: RefSeq, a predicted model, not a curated record